GGUUUGUAGAAUGAAUAAUUAUAAAUCUAUUCUGCCCACUGAUGGAUAUUUAAUGGCUGCGGUAUAUUAACCGUACAAAGGUAGCAAAAUCAAUUGUUUUUUAAAUGAAAACUAGAAUGAAAGAAUUGAUGAGAUAAAAAUUGUUUCAAUAUUAAAAAUUGAAUUUAAAUUUUAAGUUAAAAUGCUUAAGUAUAUUUAAAAGACGAAAAGACCCUAUAGAAUUUUAUAAAAUUUAAAUUAUAUAAAUAUUAUAUGUAAAUAUAAUUUAUUUAAUUUAAUUAUAUUUAGUUGGGAGGAUUAUAAAAUUUAAUAAACUUUUAUUAAUUUUAAAACAUUGAUAAAUGAGUAGUUGAUUAUUAUUAUAAUUGUAAGAAAAAAUUACCUUAGGGAUAACAGCGUAAUAUUUUUGGAGAGAUCGAAUUGAUAAAAAUGUUUGCGACCUCGAUGUUGAAUUAUGAUAUAAUUUAGGUGUAGUAGUUUAAAUUGUUAGUCUGUUCGACUAUUAAAAUCAUACA
RNAcentral lists this ribosomal RNA (515 nucleotides) under Parancistrocerus perennis. RNAcentral describes it as "partial 16S ribosomal RNA". The stretch from base 389 to 515 matches the Rfam family "Bacterial large subunit ribosomal RNA", at positions 2473 to 2600 of the family's 2925-position model. Lineage: Eukaryota; Metazoa; Arthropoda; Insecta; Hymenoptera; Vespidae. The record is from RNAcentral.